This 484-nucleotide ribosomal RNA is filed under the name uncultured bacterium. RNAcentral describes it as "partial 16S ribosomal RNA". It matches the Rfam family "Bacterial small subunit ribosomal RNA", at positions 30 to 507 of the family's 1533-position model. The record is from RNAcentral.
AUUGAACGCUGGCGGCAUGCCUAACACAUGCAAGUCGAGCGGAUGAAGGUAGCUCUCUCCCGGAUUCAGCGGGCGACGGACGGGUGAUUACUAGGUAUCUGCCCUGCCUUUGGGGAUAGCGUACCGAAAGGGGCCCUAAUAUAGCACACGUUCAGAGGUAGAAAGGGAGGGAUCUUCGGAGCUAGCGCUAUUAGCUGAGCCUAGGUCGGAUUAGCUAGUUGGUGGGGUAAAGGCCUACCAAGGCGACGAUCCGUAACUGGUCUGAGAGGAUGAUCAGUCACACUGGAACUGAGACACGGUCCAGACUCCUACGGGAGGAAGCAGUGGGGAAUAUUGGACAAUGGGCGAAAGCCUGAUCCAGCAAUGCCGCGUGUGUGAAGAAGGUCUUCGGAUUGUAAAGCCCUUUAAGUUGGGAGGAAGGGCAGUAAGUUAAUACCUUGAUGUUUUGACGGUACCUACAGAAUAAGCACCGGCUAACUUCGUG